Molecule: long non-coding RNA, 977 nt
Organism: Mauremys mutica (yellowpond turtle)
Lineage: Eukaryota; Metazoa; Chordata; Testudines; Geoemydidae
Exons: 3
Source: RefSeq, a predicted model, not a curated record
AGAGAUGAUUCAAGACAAAGGGUUCCAAUGCCCGCGGAGAUACGCCGUACCCGACCGCUAGGGGGCAGCACUGCUGCCAGUUGUGGUAGUGACACAAACUACCAUCUUCAGAGAUUGCUCCACAGGAUGAACCAAAAACAGAGACAUGAUUUCUAGACACUGAAGAGUUAAAUGGAAGUUAAAGUACUUUCACUGCUUCAUCCUCGCAGUGGAAGAAAAGGUGUUCUUUCUGGCAGGUGCCACUCUGAAGUGGGGAAGAGAGAUACACAUUGAGACAGCUCCACCCAACAACAGACCAACAAGCUCAUAACCUCAUGUUAACUUACUGUGUGUAUAUAUACUACAUGGAUUUGGGGUGGACAUUAGACCUCAUAAUACAGUAUAUUUUUAUCCACAGAUGUCAUGGGGAAAGCUAGAUUCCAAGUGCAGACAUAUGUGCUGAUUGAUAUUGGUAAUGUGCUGUGCCAUUUAGACUCACUGAGACCAAUUCACCUCACCAUUGCAGCCCUUACCAUAUUCCUCGGAUAUUGAAGUCUCCCAGACUGGCAUUCUCAGGAGCACAGCUAGAAUGCUCUGAAUUCCAGCUAUUUCUGGCUGCUGCAAUGGCCUCAUGGGGCCAUGGACUGCCAAAUGUAAGCUAGGGUGACACCUCAAGUUGCUCUAACAUAUGCCUGAGUGAGGCCAAAACAGCCUCAGUCCAGAAUAAGGGAGACACAGACAUGGAAUAAAGGCACUUUUGCCUCUUCCCACUACCACUUAGUUCUGUGCCAAACUCAGUUCUAGCACAGAGAAUAAUUAGUUCCUUUAUAUGCCAUAAUUUCUGGUGGCCAAAUGUCUGUGUAAACAUGUGACAACAUAAUCUGUUUACAGACGGAUAACAAAAUAUGUGCAUACUUGCAAAAGAUCUCUGAUCUAUGCUGACUGAUGAUAACUUUAGUGCAACACAUGGUCAGUAAAACUCCAAUUGACAUCCAGGA